GGGCCAAUGGGGGGGGCGGCGCGGUUCGCGUCGCGUCAAGUUGCGUCGCGCUUUCCCGUGGUGCCGCGCGGUGAACGGCGGCAGGAGUGGUCGCGACUCCAUCCGGGUAUCGGUGGGCUGUGGGUCACCCUGCGGCAGGCCCGGAAGUACCGCCCCCGGGCGCUCCUGAGUGGUGGGUUGGCCCCGUCGCCCGCUGGGGAUAGGCUGCGGAUGCCGUCAGCGGCUGGGUACGUCACUUCCGCUACCGAGUGUGUGGGCAGGGGAGACCUUGGCCGCAGGGGGGAGGCCACCCCCCACCCCCGGCCGUUACUGGGGCUGCGUGCGGGGGUCACUUGUCCUGCCCCAUCUCGGGCACCGAGGAGCACUGACCUGCGGUGGGGAGCGGUGGCCGAAGGAACUUGUGUCGGGGUGGGCUGGGAGAUGCGGUGGGCAGGACUGCAGGCGGCUGUGGGAAGCAGGGAGGGUGUUAGAUACGGGGUGGGCCGGCAGGACACGGUACCGCGUAGGAAGAGUGAAUCUCAGGAACGACGAGGCAGAAGUUGAAGAAAAUACCUUAUGAAACGUCCCUCCUUUGGCAGCUAAACAUGUUGUCGGUAAACAGCAGAGUAAGGGGUGGGGUUGUACAAAACUAAGCUUGGAACACUCGUCAGUAUAUGCUGUAUAAUCGAAACUAAGCACUUGUGUUAUGUUUCAGUACUGUUAGCACAGUGUAGAAUCUGUCCUAGGUAAGUGGCAAUGUGCUUAUGGGGUCUUUCUUAUGGCACAGCAUAGUCAGUUUUAGAGAAGGACACUAUGCAAUCAAAUUAUGUUUUUAUGAUUUAUUUGUUGUAGGAGUGGAAACUCAAGGUUAUGAUAAUCCUCAUUGAUAGAUUUGCCUUUUCUGUGUUCUUUAUGCUCUCUAAUUGUACUACUUUGCGCAGACGGUUUUCUAACUGUAAUAUGAGUCUUAACUGACAUGGAAAAAUUGCUUCCAUUAACAACAUACCUAGAAAUCCUACAGGAUGAUGCUUAAUAAAAAUGUGUCAAAUUUAAUCCAUGACAGAAUUUUUGGGGAAAUGAAGCUGUCCUUUCAAAAGCAAUAUUAUUUCUUUAACUUAUUUAAACAACAUUUAGGGAAUGGGACAUCCUCUUCCUGGGCUCUCCAAGCAGGUAUCAGCAUCUCCAGCUGCCAGGGGAGUUCACCAGACUAGUUACCAGCAUGGCUCCUGUUGUCGCAUUUGACAUGUUCCGUUCACAGCAACAUUCGGGCAUUAAAUAGCCUGAAGUUACCCAAGGUGUUAUUUACAGCAUGACUUCAAACUUGCUGUGGUCUUUCCAGCGUAGUCAGCCUGCACUAUGAGAUUUAGUAGAUUUUUUUUGCCCUGUCCCAGCUGGCUUUGUGAAGAGGGACUUGCUAAGUAGCUGUAUGGUGAGAUCUGUAAUGUUAAGUUGUUGACGGUGACUUUUUUUUCACUGAGCUUCCCAACAAGUGAUACUUUGUAGGUCUUAAAUGCAACCUCCAUUCCCACAGGUCAUGCCAGGAAGUUCUUUUGCAUGCUAAGACUGGAGACUUGGCAAAAGGAAGCUCAGAUAAAACAUCAAAUCACUUUGUUUUUCUACUCCUACAAGCUGUAUACUUAUGUCACUUUCCUUUUGAAAAUGCUUUCUGUAUUUUCCUCUGUUGUCAGUCAGGGAAAACAGCGGUUCAUUCACGAAAUGGUGAAAGGCUCUUAGGAUGUAAAAAGGGCAAUAGAUGUUUAGUUCUGAUGCCAAUUUGUAACGUAGCACAGCGUUUUUGAAAACAUUCUUGGGCACUAACUGCAUGUGCAACUCAUGCACAACUGAAACACUACUCAGGUGAAUGAAUAGUACACAUUGGUCUAUUCCUAAGUAAGAUUACAUUCCUGUUUGAGGUGGGAACAAAUAACCAAAACGAUGGUUUCCUUUGAGAGGUGCACUGAGGCCUUGGUACUGUUUGAAGCUGCAGCUAAGCCCAAGUGUGCUCCCAUACCUCUUUCAUCUGCCAGUGACUGACAGAUGUGUAUUCCAAAAGGAUUUGUGAACACCUGGUAACAUUGUAGUGUAGUCACUUUCCUUGCUACAACAUAUUCUCUACUUUCAUGGAGGUUUUUGCCAGCACUGUGCAGUGCUGUCAUGCACACAGCACUUACGUGCAGGUUUAAUCCUAACGUUGUACAGGAGGAUGCUAGGAUUUGCAUUACUGUGGUUCUAUGUUCAUGUUAGAAAUAAUUAAUUAUGAUCACAUAACUUCACCUUUCCAGAGGAGAUGUGCUUUGUUCAGCGCAUGAGUGGGCAAUAGUAACUUCUAACUCCUGUCAAGCCGUGGUUUCCGGAUAUUUAUAUUCCAGCUGUAACUGCAUGGUUAGAAAAACAAGUCCAAAUCAAACCUACUAAUUGCAAAUGUGGCAUAACAGUAAAAUUUUCUAAUUAUGUAAACCCAGAACACUUUAUGUUAAAGCAGUUAAGUGUAAAUGGGAUAGAGAUUUUUGUAAAAAAUACUGGCAUUUCCGAUUGAGACACUAGAUUAAUACCACCGAUUGUCACCAAUAACAUAUUCAUCUUGUGGUGUGUGAAAAAUGCCCGGGUCACACGCACGUAGUGCUCACACAUCCCUGUCAAGGCACGUGGCCUUUGGUACUGCUUGUGCUUGGAGUUAAAGCCCAUCUCUAAAUCUGUGUAGCGUUGUGCACUGAGCCUGCUCGUACUCCUUUUCUCCUCUUUGUAAGAUUUGCCAGUUCAAACAAGUGUUUUGGUGUGGUUUACACUUACUCUAGUGUAUUGCUGCUAAAUGGACUAGCACGGCCAGAGAGGUAUUAGAUUUUAAAUGUUUGGGCAUAAGCAGGGGAUUCUUAAGAGGGUGCCUGGACUUCAGCUGGCAAGCGUUACAUUCUGAUGAAAGAGGUUUUGCUUUCUUGGUCAGUGCCUAUUUUCAUUGCAGGUGAACUUGCUUGGCACAAAGUUCAAAAAAAACCCCAACAAACCAAGUCAAAACUCUCUAAUCUGUUUAGUCCUAAUCUUCAUACAGGUUUCUAAUUUACAGCGUUGACUUGUCUGUUACAGUUAAUUUUUUCCACUGAAUUUUCUAAAGUGGGAUUUAAGCUCUAGAGUAAAAUAGUGUUUUCCGUUAACAAGCUGUUUACAAAUUUACAACUGCCAAAUGAUCUUUUCACGGAUGCGCUGCAGCAUUGUGGACCUCAGGUAGAGCUAUCCAUUUAUCUCCCCACUGCGUAUCAUAGGUGUCAGUAAAGCACAGUUUGUGGAGGAGAUAUUCCUCCUAUAAACCCACUUUCAACUUUAGGUGGUUUGUUCUGUGCUGCAAAGUGGACAAAAUAACUGGGAGAAUAAAGCAUUUGUCUUGUAGGAGCACACUGAGAGGAAAUGGGUCUUUUGUUAUUUCCACAAAGACGUGUUUUGUUCCUUCAGCAGAGUAACGAAUAAAAAUCAUACCUGUCA
Athene cunicularia (burrowing owl) is the source of this 3453-nucleotide long non-coding RNA. RefSeq lists it as uncharacterized. The record is from RefSeq and is a predicted model, not a curated record. Lineage: Eukaryota; Metazoa; Chordata; Aves; Strigiformes; Strigidae. The transcript has 2 exons.